Molecule: long non-coding RNA, 2278 nt
Organism: Symphalangus syndactylus (siamang)
Lineage: Eukaryota; Metazoa; Chordata; Mammalia; Primates; Hylobatidae
Source: RefSeq, a predicted model, not a curated record
GCCUUCGGUUGCUAACUUGUAGGGGCGGGAUGCACUUAGUGACGUCAGAGGCCUAGCGCCCAGUGCGCACGCGCACUUGUGUAAAAAGCGAGGACGUGAGCGUUCUGGAAGCUUUGCUCUUUUCACUGUUAGUGAGGAGCAGUCAAGGAUGCGUAUUAAGAAAAUAACUAGAAGUGGCCGCAUGAUGUACCUCUCACCAGUGAGAUGUCUGUCAAGGGUGUACGUGGGCCUUCUGAGCCUCAUCGGAGCACAAAGUUCCAAGUGACUUCAAAGGGUUUUCUGUACUCGGAGCAGCUCUAUGGGACAUGGAAGAUGAGAAAUGAACCAACAACAGAGGUGCAAUGAAAGGUAAAACUCAUAGCAUCACCACAGCUCUUAGGUAAGUGGCAGGCUAAAUUACUGCACUUGGAUAUAUGAAUCUCAUGGGUUCAUGAUGGAAAAGAUAACAAGCAUUUAAGACCAAAAAUAAAUCUGAGUUUGUUCACUGGAUGCAGGAAAAGUUUUCCUAAACAAAUAAUGUGGGUAACAUUUCAUUAUUAGCAUGGAAAUAUGUCCACUUUCAUGUUUAGAGAAGGAAAUAAUAAAUAAAUGAAUGAUCAAACAUAAAAGCAAAAUACAGCAUUCACAGUAGGCAUCCAAUGUAACAUGCUAUUUAGAUAAAAACAGUCCCUUCAAAGUCCAAUAUGUUUUUAAAAGCCUGAUAUUUACAGUGGUAUGAUUUCUAGGGAAAUUGAGAAAUUAAAUAUAUAUCCAGCAACAUACAGAAGAAACUCUGUGUAUCCAUUUGUACCAGCCUCUCUUUUCUCUGAAAGAUUGGCCUUCGGAAAGUGAAGGAAGAUUGGAUUCAGACAUUAUGUCCUCUUACACAAAUUGUUGCAAUAACUUGUCAUAAACAGGAAAAUAUAAAAUUAAAUGCAAUGUUUAUAUAGAUAUAAAUGUUAAAAAGAGCACAAUAUUACAAAAUGAAGUGGUUUAUAUUUUAGGUAGAUUGUGUACUUGAUAAAAUAUUAUAAAAUUUGCAUUUUUGAUAACUUAAUUCUUUGAAUAAUUGUGAUUUGAUAUUAAUCAAUCUGAAAUUUUUUCUUCAGGAUUUAAGAUGUUUAUUCUCUCUUAAUUUAAGUAUCAAUUUAAGUAUUUGCACUUGUGGACUUUCUCUUUAUUUCUUUUUAUUUUCAUGAAGAUUCCCACCUUACAAAUAUCACUUUCAGGGUUCUUAGGGAUCAUAUUAUUAUUAUUUUACAAUUUAUUGAAAAUGGCAUGAGGUUAGAUAUCAUCAGAUUCUUUUGGAAAGUUAUUAUAAACAAGAACAUAUUUCCCUUUUUAGCUGAAUGACAGGAUAUCUGUUUAAAAUGAAUACUUAAAAGCAGCUUGAAUUUCAUUCUUCAUGCUCAUCAUUUACAGUUUUCUAUAGCAAUGUUUUUUCUGGAAUGUGCCUUAGAAUGCAGACAAUAAAGGCUGAAUGAGAGAUAUGUUAGGCUAAGCUCAACAAAACACAUUGCAAUUAUUGUUUCUUCAAUUAUGUCUAAAAUGAUUGCUUAUAAAACAAAAUUACAUGAUAAUAUUAUCUUAAAACCAGCAAUAUUCAAUAAAUGUCUUCUCACUGUCUUUCUAAUGUGUUAGCACUCAUUCUAUAUAGUUUGUAUUAAUAUAUCUUAUACUCUACCUCUAUCCCUGUUAUUAGGCUUCACUUUAACUAGAUAUUUAGGAUAUUAUCUUUACCUGGGAAUGAAAUUAUGUGAUUGGAGGAAGAGAUUCCCUAUAAUUGGCAAUAGGUUUCCUCCUCUAAAAUGUUAGGUCUUUUCUUUUUUUUUCUUCUUUAUUCUGGGAUGUGGAUGUGACCUCUUGGUACUGAUUGAAAUUUAUAGUGUUGUAUACCACUGUCAACUUUCCCAAUGUCUGACAGCUUAACAGGGCCCCAAUUGUAGCCACUGCUGCCCACCUUGUUCUUCAGCUUCACUUCUUGAAACAACCUUCUCCACAGUUUCAUGAGAGCAUCUGCUUUUCACUGCAUGGUAUUUGACUCCAAGAUUCACACCUGUAGUUCUGAUAUCUUUUAUUUAUGCUCUAUUAUUUCUGCUUGAAUAACCUACUUUUACUAGAAAUUUAACCUAUGAAACUUUGAAGAUACAGGGCUAAAAUCCACCCAUGUGGCCCAAGUACCACAUGUCUUGAUAAGAGAAAGAUUGUUUUAGAUUCAAAACACUAAGAUUGUUUUCAGUCUAGUCUUUAUGAAUUUGUUUUUCAUAUUAAAAAUUAAAAAGUCAAACGAAUAAAUAAA